This 417-nucleotide ribosomal RNA is filed under the name uncultured euryarchaeote. Its description in RNAcentral is "bacterial SSU rRNA". It matches the Rfam family "Archaeal small subunit ribosomal RNA", at positions 330 to 747 of the family's 1478-position model. The record is from RNAcentral. Lineage: Archaea; Methanobacteriati; Methanobacteriota.
GUGCAGCAGGCGCGAAACCUUCACAAUGUGCGAAAGCGCGAUGAGGGGAUCCCAAGUGCUUGCUCGUAAGAGUAAGCUGUUUUUAUGUCUAAAACGCAUAGAGAGUAAGGGCUGGGUAAGACGGGUGCCAGCCGCCGCGGUAAUACCUGCAGCUCAAGUGGUGACCGCUAUUAUUGGGCCUAAAGCGCUCGUAGCCGGAUCAGCAAGUCCUUUGUGAAAUCGGACCGCCCAACGGUUCGGCGUGCAAAGGAUACUGUUGGUCUUGAGACCGGGAGAGGUCGGAGGUACUCUUGGGGUAGCGGUGAAAUGCUGUAAUCCUGGGGGGACCACCAGUGGCGAAGGCGUCCGACCAGAACGGAUCUGACGGUGAGGGGCGAAGGCUAGGGGAGCGAACGGGAUUAGAUACCCCCGUAGUCC